CACACACACACACACACACACACACACACAUUGUUUCCUGGCGUGAAUAAUUGCGUCUACACAAUUGUGUAGAAAGAUAUUGGUGCAAAAACAUGCCUGCUCAGCACCCCUCCUCUAGGUGAAUAUAGAACCACACACAGGCGCACAGCCUCCUAUUAUGUUCUGGAAAAGCAGUUGCAGUCUCCGAUUGUGUGUUCUAAACCAAAGCCUGUCUGCUGAAGUCAACGGGCCUUUGCUCGCAGCACUGCUUUGUUUGCAUGGGGUCAAAGAAGCUGAUUGAUCGCUGGUUGAGUGGAUUAGCCAUCUCUUUCAAAAAAAAAAAAAAAACAGAUCACGGAGACAAACAGGCAGAGAUGAGGAGGCAGGGAGAGACCAAUCAGAUGCACAGCGUCGGCUGAUGGAUGCCUGUCGCCUUCUGAUCGGCUUUUAAGGAACCGGACAAACGAACAGACCUACUUUCGGUGAGGACAGCUAUGGAGAAGCGCAGUGCAAUAGAGACGUUCAGGGGAAAGAAGGGGGAUGUUUGCUUAGUCUGUGGUGUAAAACGGGAGCAGAAGCGAGGCAUCUGAAAACAAACAGCAUUCAGUAUGUGUCAAUACUACAUCGAUCCUCAGAGGUCUGCACGACUUUAGGAAGCACUACUAAGAUACACUUAGUAGUAGUAAAGUGUGGAUAAACCAUUAAUGGUGAUUUUUCUGUCAAACUCCACUAAUGUCAACAUGUACAUGGUGAAAUACAAGUUUCGCUCUCGUGGACAGUUUAGUUUUUUUUUUUUUGUUUUUUUUUUGCCUAACUGUCUAUUUCAUCAUCA
This is a long non-coding RNA of Betta splendens (Siamese fighting fish), 811 nucleotides long. RefSeq lists it as uncharacterized. The record is from RefSeq and is a predicted model, not a curated record. The transcript is spliced from 2 exons. Lineage: Eukaryota; Metazoa; Chordata; Actinopteri; Anabantiformes; Osphronemidae.